GCCGGGAUCGCAUAACCUGGUAUUGCGCUGGUCUUGAAAACCAGUGGCCGAAAGGCCUUCAGGGUUCAAAUCCCUGUCCCGGCG
RNAcentral lists this transfer RNA (84 nucleotides) under Candidatus Woesearchaeota archaeon. RNAcentral describes it as "tRNA-Ser". It matches the Rfam family "tRNA". Rfam says of the family: Transfer RNA (tRNA) molecules are approximately 80 nucleotides in length. Their secondary structure includes four short double-helical elements and three loops (D, anti-codon, and T loops). Lineage: Archaea; Nanobdellati; Candidatus Woesearchaeota. The record is from RNAcentral.